RNAcentral lists this ribosomal RNA (458 nucleotides) under uncultured bacterium. Its description in RNAcentral is "partial 16S ribosomal RNA". It matches the Rfam family "Bacterial small subunit ribosomal RNA", at positions 338 to 795 of the family's 1533-position model. The record is from RNAcentral.
CCUACGGGAGGCAGCAGUGAGGAAUAUUGGUCAAUGGGCGAGAGCCUGAACCAGCCAAGUCGCGUGAGGGAGUACUGCCCUAUGGGUUGUAAACCUCUUUUGUCGGGGAGCAAAAGCCGGACGUGUCCGGCUGUGAGAGUACCCGAAGAAAAAGCAUCGGCUAACUCCGUGCCAGCAGCCGCGGUAAUACGGAGGAUGCGAGCGUUAUCCGGAUUUAUUGGGUUUAAAGGGGGCGCAGGCGGAUUUUUAAGUCAGCGGUAAAAUCGUGGGGCUCAACCCCAUCCAGCCGUUGAAACUGGGGAUCUAGAGUGUGCGAGAGGUAUGCGGAAUGCGUGGUGUAGCGGUGAAAUGCAUAGAUAUCACGCAGAACCCCGAUUGCGAAGGCAGCAUACCGGUGCACAACUGACGCUCAGGCACGAAAGCGUGGGUAUCGAACAGGAUUAGAUACCCCAGUAGUC